RNAcentral lists this ribosomal RNA (497 nucleotides) under uncultured bacterium. RNAcentral's name for it is "partial 16S ribosomal RNA". It matches the Rfam family "Bacterial small subunit ribosomal RNA", at positions 28 to 507 of the family's 1533-position model. The record is from RNAcentral.
GAUGAACGCUGGCGGCGUGCCUAAUACAUGCAAGUCGAGCGAACAGAUGAGGAGCUUGCUCCUCUGACGUUAGCGGCGGACGGGUGAGUAACACGUGGAUAACCUACCUAUAAGACUGGGAUAACUUCGGGAAACCGGAGCUAAUACCGGAUAAUAUAUUGAACCGCAUGGUUCAAUAGUGAAAGACGGUUUUGCUGUCACUUAUAGAUGGAUCCGCGCCGCAUUAGCUAGUUGGCAAGGUAACGGCUUACCAAGGCAACGAUGCGUAGCCGACCUGAGAGGGUGAUCGGCCACACUGGAACUGAGACACGGUCCAGACUCCUACGGGAGGAAGCAGUAGGGACUCUUCCGCAAUGGGCGAAAGCCUGACGGAGCAACGCCGCGUGAGUGAUGAAGGUCUUCGGAUCGUAAAACUCUGUUAUUAGGGAAGAACAAAUGUGUAAGUAACUAUGCACGUCUUGACGGUACCUAAUCAGAAAGCCACGGCUAACUACGUG